RNAcentral lists this ribosomal RNA (253 nucleotides) under uncultured bacterium. RNAcentral's name for it is "partial 16S ribosomal RNA". It matches the Rfam family "Bacterial small subunit ribosomal RNA", at positions 524 to 776 of the family's 1533-position model. The record is from RNAcentral.
UACGAAUGUGGCAAGCGUUGUUCGGAAUCACUGGGCGUAAAGAAUGCGUAGGCGGCUUAAUAAGUCGGAAGUGAAAUCCCAGGGCUUAACCCUGGAACUGCUUUCGAAACUGUUUUGCUAGAGUCCCGGAGGGGUUAGCGGAAUUCCGAGUGUAGAGGUGAAAUUCGCAGAUAUUCGGAGGAACACCAGUGGCGAAGGCGGCUAACUGGACGGGAACUGACGCUGAGGCAUGAAAGUGUGGGGAUCAAACAGG